CUAAAAUACAUUUCUCCCUGCUUGGUUCUAGUUAAAAGAAAAUCUGCUUCUUCUUUGAUUUGGCGUUCAGAUUUGCUUCUGGUGUAUUAGUCUCCCAUCUCCCUUUCAAGUAUUUGCUUCUGGGGUUGAUAUUUUCAACAUUUUUAUUUGAUUCUUGGCGUAAAAUGUUUCCACCACAUUGAUAACGAUCCUUUCCCCCUGGUUAUAGAGAAAGUUCCAAACCUGAGGGGGUGGGUAAGGCGCCAAAUUCCCAAUUCCCGUCGGUGGGUUCCCUUAAAGAUGGAUAAAGGAAAGAAAUGCAGAAGAGAAGACGAAGAGAUCGAGGCCGUUGACAGCGACGCUAAUCAUUCUCAUUCUCUCGCGCAGAGCAAAAUCUUAGCUUUAGCGACACUUUGCUGGUGCUUCGUAUGAUGCGAGUUCAGUUUCCUCAGAUUGAUAAGGUGUCGAUUCAACCUUUUAUUUUACAGUCACAAUUGUAUAGCAGUGUAAAGGACAGAACACAAGUGGAUAGGGAGCUAGAGUCUCUAAGAAGGGAUAAAGUAGUGCGCAUUUUCAAACUAAAUACGGGGCAAGAUGAUCAUGGUAUAAUGUUUUUAGAUGAUUAUCUAAAACAGGUUGGUUAUUGAUGUCUGUAAAUUCAUAAAUGAUGAGAUGUUUAGUUUGCAACUUUAGUUUCCAUUAGUUCAAAGUGAGUUACUGUUACUGCAUGCCUAUCCAAUGAUUUUCACAGAAGGAAAUGAUCGAAGAAUGCCGAUUUUCACAGAAAUCAUGAAAAUUGAAGGCUUGUCUAAUGAUGAAAUGCUUAUUGCAGGAGAGUAUAUUAGCAAAGAUGCACACAAGUUAGAUUUCUUCUUUUCUUUGCCAAAAGAAUUCAAAAAAGAUUAUGUGAUUAAGCAAUUAGUUGAAUGCCAUCACUUUAGACCAUCCUUUUGACUGUGGUCCUUCUACAAUUAUGCCGAUCUCUUUUUUAUUAUGACUUUAGAUUAUGGUCCCAACUUUUUUGUGUAGCUUAGCCAGGUAUAUGUCAAGCAACCCAAUAAUUCAAGUUUAGAAUGUCAUGGCUAUUAUCUUUGUAUGUUCAAA
Hibiscus syriacus is the source of this 1083-nucleotide long non-coding RNA. RefSeq lists it as uncharacterized. NCBI's taxonomy places the organism in Eukaryota, Viridiplantae, Streptophyta, Magnoliopsida, Malvales, Malvaceae. The transcript is spliced from 4 exons. The record is from RefSeq and is a predicted model, not a curated record.